AUGGCCUCUGUCUCCGAGCUCGCCUGCAUCUACUAGGCGCUCAUUCUGCACGACGAUGAGGUGACCGUCACGGAGGAUAAGAUCAAUGCUCUCAUUAAAGCAGCUGGUGUAAAUAUUGAACCUUUUUGACCUGGCUUGUUUGCAAAGGCCUGGUCAAUGUCAACAUCGGGAGCCUCAUCUGCAGUGUAGAGGCUGGUGGAGCUGCUCCAGCUGAGGAGAAGAAAGUGGAAGCAAAGAAAGAAGAAUCCGAGGACGGUGAUGAUGACAUGCGCUUUGGUCUUUUU
Molecule: long non-coding RNA, 284 nt
Filed under: Homo sapiens (human)
Lineage: Eukaryota; Metazoa; Chordata; Mammalia; Primates; Hominidae
Description: non-protein coding lnc-MYADM-5:1
Source: RNAcentral